This is a long non-coding RNA of Hypanus sabinus (Atlantic stingray), 9508 nucleotides long. RefSeq lists it as uncharacterized. The record is from RefSeq and is a predicted model, not a curated record. Lineage: Eukaryota; Metazoa; Chordata; Chondrichthyes; Myliobatiformes; Dasyatidae. The transcript is spliced from 3 exons.
UGGAAAGCAACAGAACAAAAACAAAAUCAAUCCCUUUGAAAUUUAGUUACAGAAACCUGACUAAUAAAACCAGAAAAGAUCAUUUGUUCUGACUCGUUACAACAAUGACCAUAUUUCAAAAGUACUUAUUAAUUAUAAAGUGCUUUGGAAUGAGACAGACUCACCUCUCAUACUUUAAUAACAGGGCUUUCCCACCUUGUUUUCCUUUCUGCCCAUAGUGCUCAAAUGUAAAAUACGCUUGAGUAUUAAGUUUCCCACUAUAUCUCUCAGAAGCCCCUUUCCAAAGCAAUCUAGAUAAUUAUUUUUGUCAUUACAUUGCCCUAUUGACUUUUCCUUUCUCUUUGCUUUCCUAACUGCCACUUCAGGCUACGUCCACACUACACCGGAUAAAUCCGUAACCAAAGCGUUUUCUCUUCAUUUUUACCAUUUGUCCACACUAAAACGGCGUUUUCAUCCCCCGAAACCGGAGCUUUUCAGAAACGCUCUCCAAAGUGUGUAUUUUUGAAAACACCGGAUUGGCCGGAUCAGUGUGGAUGGGGUAACCGGAGACUUCUGAAAGUGCUGUCAGACAGUAGCGCGCUAUUUCAUUGUUUUCUUGAAUGCAACCUAACAAUUUCAGAACAGAUGGUAACGAGACUGAUGCCAGAAGUGUUAGAAAUGUACUCACCAAAUACUUUGACCCAUAAGUUACUGAAUAAAUAAGUAUACUCACUUUGCCCCGUUUUCUGUCCUUGCUCGUAUGAAGGUGGUUUACUUAUUUAGAACCAUAGAACAUUACAGCACAGAAACAGGCCUUUUGGCCCUUCUUGGCUGUGCCGAACCAUUUUUCUGCCUAGUCCCACUGACCUGCACCUGGGUCAUAUUCCUCCAAACCCCUCUUACCAUAUACCUGUCCAUGAUUUUCUUAAAUGUCAAAAGUGAGCCCACAUUCACCACUUCAUCUGGCAGCUCAUUCCACACUCCCACCACUCCCUGCAUGAAGAAGCCCCCCCCCCAAUGUUCCCUUUAAACUUUUCCCCCUUCACCCUUAACCCAUGAUCUCUGGUUUUUUCCUCCCCUGGCCUCAAUGGAAAAAGCCUGCUUGCAUUCACUCUAUCUAUACCCAUCAUAAUUUUAUACACCUCUAUCAAAUCACCCCUCAUUCUCCUACACUCCAGGGAAUAAAGUCCUAACCUAUUCAACCUUUCUCUGUAACUCAGUGCCUCAAGUCCCGGCAACAUCCUUGUAAACCUUCUCUGCACUCUUUCAACCUUAUUAAUAUCCUUCCUGUAAUUAGAUGACCAAAACUGCACUCAGUACUCCAAAUUCGGUCUCACCAAUGCCUUAUACAACCUUACCAUUACAUUCCAACUCUUAUACUCAAUACUUUGAUUUAUAAAGGCCAAUAUACCAAAAGCUUUCUUUACAACCCUAUCUACUUGUGAAGCCACUUUUAGGGAAUUAUGUACCUGUACUCCCAGAUCCCUCUGUUCUACUGCACUUCUCAGUGUCCUACCAUUUACCUUGUAUGUUCUACCUUGGUGUGACCUUCCAAAGUGCAAUACCUCACACUUGUCCGCAUUAAACUCCAUCUGCCAUUUUUCAGCCCAUUCCUCCAACUGGCUUUGAAAACCUUCCUCAUUGUCCACUAUACCUCCAAUCUUUGUAUCAUCAGCAAAUUUGCUGAUCCAAUUUGCCACAUUAUCAUCCAGAUCAUUGAUAUACAUGACAAAUAACAAUGGACCCAGCACUGAUCCCUGUGGCACACCACUAGUCACAGGCCUCCACUCAGAGUAGCAAUCCUCCACUACCACUCUCUGGCUUCUUCCAUUGAGCCAAUGUCUAAUCCAAUUUACUACCUCUCCAUGUAUACCUAGUGACUGAAUCUUCCUAACUAACCUCCCAUGCAGGACCUUGUCAAAGGCCUUAAUGAAGUCCAUGUAUACAACAUCCACUGCCUUCCAUCUCCACCUAAACUUUUCCCCCCAAUUAAAUCCUCAUGUUCCCAUUUCCCUGAUAAAUAGCUUUAAAUCCUCCACAACAGCAUUAGCAAAUCAAGUGACCCAGUCCACUAAAAUGGCAUCUAUCUGGUUUGCUGAGACUCAACCUCAUUCAGGGAAAGCUCCUAUUCCUCAGAAAUUUAAAUCCCUCCCUCCUUCAUUCAUUCUUUUCAACUAUGCACCUGUUCUACCUUCGCAUUCCUAUACUCAUGAAAACAUAGCACAUGUUUAAUUAUCUUUACAGUCCUGCUUUCUAACCUCUGGUUGCAGAAUAUCAGCACACUAUCUACCUUUAUAGUGUGUUUCUUUACGUUGACUCUACCUGCCUACACUGGCUCCACAGAAUCUCCUUUCUUUCCCAUCUUUCUUUCUACAUGGAUAACAACUGAAUCUAAACUUCCAAAUAAGAUAUUCUUAUCUUGGUUAGUGAUACAUCCUUCAGGACUCAUGCUUGCAACUACAGAGAAUGCUAUCAAUACCCAGAGCUAAACUGUCUCCAACUACCACUAAAUUCUUUUUCACUCGUCCAAUGCGAAGCACCCCCCCCCCCCAUACAACAUAUUGACAAUUUGCUCAUCCACCAUUCAGUGUCUGAUCUCAUCCACACAGGCUGCAAUAAUCCUAUACACCUACAUUAUGGACAAGUGCAAGGACAGACUCCUGAAACCCUAACCUCUGGAUUCUCAUGCCUACCUCCCACAUCCUCCUUUACCUUUUGAUUGACCAAAUGCAUAGUACUUAAUGUAAGAUGUGUGACUGGAACAUAAUUUCCUCUUCGCUGAUGCACCACAAUGUCUAUAACUUGGAUUCUAGCUCAGACUGGGAACUGAAGUUCCUUGAACUAUGGAAACUUACUGGAAACAUGGUAUACAAGAAUGCCAAUAGUUUCCAUUAACUCACAUGUGGCACCAUAUUAGAUUGAGGAGAAUGAUAAGGCAAUAAUCAACCAAAUUGGAGUAUGGAAGGCAUUUCCCACCUUCUCAAAGAUCUACAGAGCAGAAUGUUGAGUCCAUCUGGGUAGAGAUUAAGAAAAGUAAAGGGAAAAAAAUCACUGGUGGGAGUUGUCUAUAGGCCACCUAAUAAAAAUAUUGCAGUGGCAGAGGCGACUAACCAAGAAAUAACUGAGGCUUGUAAGAACAGAACGGCAGUUGUCAUGGGAGAUCUUAAAUUCCACAUUGAUUGGGUGAAUCAGGUUGGUCAAGGAAGUCUUGAGGAGGACUUCAUAGAACGCAUCCGUGAUAGCUUUCUUGAGCAGCAUGUUAGUGAACCUACAAGGGAAAAUGCUACCUUAGAUCUAGUCUUGUGCAAUGAGACAGGUAAGAUUAACGAUCUUGCAGUCAGGGAUCCUCUUGGAAAGAGUGAUCAUAGUAUGAUUGAAUUUCGCAUACAGAUGGAGGAUGAAAUAGAUCGAAAACUAGUGUAUUAUGCUUGAAUGAGGGAGACUACAACAGGAAGAGGGAGGAGUUGGCUAAUGUGGAUUGGGAGCACAGGCUAUUUGGCAGGACUGUUGAGAAACAGUGGAAUACUUUCAAAGAGAUUUUUCAUAGUGCUCAAUAAAAGUAUAUUCAUCAAAAGUAAGUACAGUAAGUGUGGGGAGAGCUAGCCUUGGAUAACUAAGGAAAUAAAAGAUAGUAUCAAAUUAAAAGCUCAUGUGUACAGAGUCGCAAAGAGUAGUGGGAGACUGGAGGAUUGGAAAAACUUUAAAAAGCAUCAAAGAACAACUAAACAAGAAAUAAGGAAAGGGAAGAUAGAGUAUGAAAUUAAAUUAGCACAAAAUAUAAAAACAGGUAGCAAAAGUUUUUAUAAACAUAUAAAGCAGAAGAGGGUGGCUAAAGUCAACGUAGGUCCCUUGGAAGACGAGAAAGGGAAAUUGGUACUGGGUGAUAAGGAAAUGGCUGAGGCAUUGAACAACUAUUUUGUGACGGUCUUCACGGUGGAGGACAUGUCUAAUAGCCAAAAGAUGAUGUUAUGGACGAAAUGGGAGAUGAGGAUCUCAAUAAAAACACUGUCACUAAAGAGAUAGUGAUGAGCAAACUAGAGAGCCUGAAGGUAGAUAAUUCCCCUGGUGCUGAUGGGAUGCAACCCAGGGUGCUGAGGGAAUUGGAAGAGGUUAUAGAAGAUGCGUUGGUAAUCAUUUACCAAAAUUCUCUAGACUCUGGGCAGGUCCCGGCGGAUUAGAAGACAGCAAAUGUCACACCACUUUUAAAAAAGGAUGUAGGCAAAAGACAGGCAACUAUAGGCCAGUUAGCUUAGCAUCUGUAGUUGGAAAAAUGCUUGAAGCUGUCAUUAAGGAAGAAAUAGCAAAACAUUUAGAAAGGAGUGGUUCCAUUAGACAGACACAGCAUGGAUUCAGAAAGGGCAGGUCCUGUUUGACAAACUUACUGGAGUUCUUUGAGGACAUAAUGAGUGCAGUGAGUACAGGGGAACGGGUGGUUGUUGUAUACUUGGAUUUUCAGAAGGCGUUUGAUAAGGUGCUGCACAAGAAGCUUAUAAAUAAUAUACGGAUGCAUGGAGUCGGAGGAAGUGUAUUGGCAUAGAUAGUGGAUUGGUUAACCAAUAGAAAGCAGAGAGUUGGUAUAAAUGGGUGUUUCUCCAGUUGGCAGUCAGUGGUGAAUGGGGUGCUGCAGGGGUCGGUGCUGGGCCCUCAGCUGCUUACCAUUUACAUUGAUGAUUUGCAAGAGGGGAACUGAGUGUAACGUAGCAAAAUUUGCUGAUGACACUAAACUGAGUGGAAAAGCGAAUUGUACAGAGGAUGUGGAGAGUUUGCAGAGGUAUACAGAUAGGUUAAGUGAGUGGGCCAAGGUCUGGCAGAUGGAAUACAACGUUGGUAAAUGUGAGAUCAUCCACUUUGGAAGGAAUAAUAGAAGAGCAGAUUAUUACUUAAACAGUGAAAGAUUGCGGCAUGCUGUUGUGCAGAGGGACUAGGGAGUGCUUGUGCAUGAAUCGCAAAAAGUUGGCUUGCAGGUGCAACAGGUAUUAAGAAAGCAAACAGAAUGUUGGCCUUCAUUGCUAGAAGGAUUGAAUUCAAGAGCAGGGAGGUAAUGCUGCAACUAUACAGGGUACUGGUGAGACCGCAACUGGAGUAGUGUGUGCAGGUCUGGUCUCCAUACUUGAGUUAUGUCCUUCCUCAAGUAAGGCUUUAGAGGCAGUGCAGAGGAGGUUCACUAGGUUAAUUCCAGAGAUGAAGGGGUUAACUUAUGAGGAGAGAUUGAGACACCUGGGACUAUGUGGCCUCCGUUGGUUAUGGUCGACCAUGGGUACUGCGCAUCUGGUAGUCACUGGUUUGUCAAGCAGCAUCGACUGUGGCUAUUGAGGCCGAUUCUGGAAUGGUAGGCUCUGCCACAGUUGCUGCAUGUGUAGUCUUAAUCGUGGAAUUGUUGUCCGCUGUCCGCUGUGCUCUCCGUUUAGCUCUCUGCUCUUCAAACUGACUCAGGAUCAUGCGCCUUGCUCUAGGUGUUGCUGAAGAGGACCGCCAUUUGUUGCAGUCAUCUGCUGUACCCUCCCAGCACUCUGUGUUGAUUUUUAAGGCUUUCAUGCCGCGCUUGCAGAGGUCCUUGAAGCAAAGCUAGGGUCUACCAACGUUCCUCUUGCCUGUUGCUACUUCUCCAUAGAGGAUGUCCUUCAUACAACAGAUGUGGCCCAGUCAGCACAGUCUGCAUUGUCUUAAAAGCGUGAACAUUGUGGGAUGUCCAGUGCGGGGGAGGACCUCAGAGUUUGGGACUUUGUCUCUCCAGGUGAUGCCAAGGAUGCAGCGAAGGCUGUGCAGGUGCAGCCCUGUAAACAGGUCCUGUUUGGAGUAGAUGGUCCAAGUCUCGCUACCAUACAGGAGGGUGCUGAUAAUGCAUGCAUUGUACAAGGCAGUCUUGGUCUUUGUAGCGAGUUUCCGAUUCUCUCAGACUCAAGAGGAGAGUCGAGCAAGGAUCGAUGUUGCUUUGUCGAUACGCCUAUUGAUUUCAGCAUUGAGGGAGAGAGUAUCGCUAAUGCUCGACCCCAAGUACGUGAACUCGUGAACCACUUCUAGAUCAUAGAUGGCGCUGAGUUUACAGACAGAUCAGUCAUGAUCUUAUUGAAUGGUGGGACAGGCUCAAUGGGCCAGAUGGCCUACUCCUGCUUCUUAUGUUCUCAAAUUGAAGGCUGACGUGUAACUGAAUAAGAACAAGGUUAGGGGACUGGAUAGUCAGGGGGACAGAAAGGAGAUACUGUGGCAACAAAAGAUUCACCAGGAUAGCGUGUUGCCUCCGGGGUACAGGAAUAUCUGCACUGUAAUGCAGGAUAUUCUCAAGGGGGAGAAUUUACCCUAGGUUAUUGAAGGAGGUGAGAGACAACAUUGCCAGAACCUUGACCAGUAUCUUCAUGUCCUCUCUAGCCACAGGCAAUGUCCUGGAGUACUGCCGAGUUGCUAAUGUUGUUCCUCUAUUUAAAAGGGGAACAAGGGAAAAUACUCGGAACUAUAGACCAAUCUAUAGUUGUACGUCUGUUGUACGGAAAUUGCUGGAGAAAAUUCUUAGGGUUAGGAUAUAUCAGCAUUUGGAAACCCAUGGCCUAAUUAGGGAGAGCCAGCAUGGCUUUGUGCGGGGCAGGUCGUAUCUUACAUAAGAACACAAGAACAUAAGAAAUAAGAGUAGGAGCAGACCAUCCAGCCCAUUGAGCCUGUCCCGCCCUUCAAUAAGAUCAUGGCUAAUCUGUCUGUAAACUCAGCUCUAUCUACCUGCCUUCUCCCCAUAGCCCUUAAUUCCCCUACUAUGUAAAAAUCUAACUAACUAUAUCUUAAAUAUAUUUAGUGAAGAAGCCUCAACUGCUUCCCUGGGCAGAGAAUUCCACAAAUUCACCACUCUCUGGAAAAACAGUUUCUCCUCGUCUCCAUGCUAAAUCUUCUCCCCUGAAUCUUGAGGCAGUGUCCCCUAGUUCUAGUCUCGCCUACCAAUGGGAACAACUUUCCUAUUUCUAUCUUAUCUAUCCCUUUCAAAGUUUUGAUUGUUUCUAUAAGAUCCCCUCUCAUUCUUCUGAAUUCCAGAGAGCACAGUCCCAGGCAACUCAAUCUCUCCUCAUAGGUUAACCCCUUCAUCUCUGGAAUCAACCUGGUGAACCUCCUCUGCACUGCCUCCAAAGCCAACUUGAUUGAGUUUUUUGACAAGCUGAUGAGAGAGAUUGAAGAGGGUAUGGCAGUGGAUGCUGUCUACAUGGAGUUCAGGAAGGCAUUUCACCAAGUCCCUCAUGGGAGGCUGAUCUGGAAGAUUAAUAUGCACUGGAUUCACAGCAAAUUAGCUGUUUAGAUUCAGAAUUUGUUUGCACAUAGAACUCAGAGGGUAGUGGUUAAAGCGACUUAUUCAAGUUGAAGGCUUUUUAACGUGGUGUUCUGCAGGGAUCAGUGCUGGGACCCCUGCUGUUUGUGAUGUCUAUAAAUGACCUGAAUGAAAAUGUAAGUGGGUGGGUUAGUAAGUUUGUGGAUGAUACAAGAUUGGGGGAGUUGUGGAUAGAGUAGAAAACAAUACAGCAUGUUAUAGAACAGUUGCAGAUAAAGCUGAGAAAUGGCAGAUGGAGUUUAAACCAGAUAAAUGUAAGGUGUUGUACCUUGGUAGGUCAAAUGCAAGGAGACAGUACAUUGUUUCAGUUUUGCUGGGCAGAGAGAUCUUGGGAUCCAAGUUCAUGGCUCCCUCAAAGUGGCUACAUAGGUUGAUAAGGUGGUUAAGAAGGCUUAUGGAAUGCUUGCUUUUAUUAGUUGAGGCACUGUUGAGUGUGUUGCAGCCAUCAAAUUCUAAAUUUGUGUAUAUUUACAAAAUACAAUUAAGUUGGUCAGUAAACUUUUGUCAGUUUAAAAAAAAGGUUCACGUGAAUUAACAUAUCACAGAUUUUUGUUUUUAUUGCAUUUUGGAAAAUAUCCCAACUUUUUUGGAAAUGGGGUUUGUAUUUCUUGCACAACCCUUGCAUUAAAAGCCAGCUUGUUGUAUGUCAGGCUCAAGGGAAAGAGGGGUUAAAUGAUAUUUAGUUUCACUGUCCCACCUCAAAACUUUUUCUUGCAGUCUUUGUCCUCAAAUUCAUCAACUUCCCCUUGCACUCAAUAUUUCUCCUUAUUCAAAUUUUUUUCCUUUGUCAACACUAGUUGCAUGUCUAAAAUUUUCUUACUUUACUUUCUCUUCUUAUCCUAGCCUCAAACCAUGUUGCCUUAAAAUUAACUUUUCCUUAAAUCCUGUGUUGUCCAUUUACUUUUUGUUUGGCUAAACUCCACAAACAACCAAACUGUCUUCCAACACUCACCAUCUAGGCUAAUACACAACGAAUGUUAACUUGGGUAAAUUAUUUACAAGUGACAUUGUAGCUUUAUGUAAGUCAGUACUUUCAGGAAAGCAGACAGCAAUUUGAAAUGUUAGAUCGAACUACAAAAAUUCCUUGCUGGAGGAACUCAGCCGGUCGAACAACAUCUGUGGAAACGAGCAGUCAAUGUUUUGGGCCAAGACCCUUCGUCAGGACUCAGUAAAAGCUCAGCACUGAAUGAUCGCUGUUUUAUGCCAAGUCCUCACUUGAUACAUGGAGGACCAUCAGGACUAUUUCAAAUGGACUAACUGCCAGAUGUUUAAGGAGGCCGCCACAAAAGAAGACACAGACUUCAAGGAAUAUGCCUCAUCUGUCAUUGGCUAGAUCACAAACCAACCUAUACAUGGUUAGCUGAUUCAGCCAUAGGAGACAUCACGGCCAACUCUAUCUGCUUCUACUGGAUGGUUUCCCAAAGGCAUCAUUGGACCAGGAUCAGAAGGGGAAACCCUGGCUAAUGUUUCCUUUCCAAAGCCAAGAGGUAUUGAGACCAACAGUACUAUUGACUGCUACCCAGUUUAGAACAUCAAAUGACAUAGAUCUGGGCUCAAACCCAAUGCUACAUGGAGUUUAUUGCUCCAACACAGCAUCAAAACUAUUUAUUGGACUUAGCCUAUAGACUUCAAGAUAAAACAAGAGAAAAUCUGUAGAUGCUGGAAAUCCAAGCAACACACACAAAACGCUGAAGAAACUCAGUAGGCCAGGCAGCAUCCAUGGAAAAAAAGUACAGUCGAUAUUUCAGGCUGCAAUCCUUCAGCAGGACUGGAGAAAAAGUGAUGAGGAGUGAAGAGUAAGAUGUUGGGGGGAGGGAAGGAAGAAAUACAAGGCAAUAAGUGAAACCAGGAGAGGAGAGGGGUGAAGUAAAGAGCUGGGGAGACAAUAGGUGGGAAAGAAAAAGGGCUGGAGAAGGGGGUAUCUGAUAGGAGAGGACUAAAGGCCAUGGAAGAAAGGGAAGGGGAGGAGCACCAGAGGAGGGUGAUGGACAGGUAAGCAGAUAAGGUGAGGGGGGAAAUGGGAAUGGGAAAUGGUGAGGGAGGGCAUUACCAGAAAUCCGAGAAACCAACGUUCAAGCCAUCAGGUUGGAAGCUACCCAGACAGAAUAAAGGUGUUGCCAUGGACUGACAUCGGAAUGGGAAUGGAUGUGAAAUUAAAAUGGGUGUUUUGAAAUUAAAUCAUCUUACUUUACUUUAAAUCCCCUAUUGUCCACACUAAAUAUUUGC